Corythoichthys intestinalis (scribbled pipefish) is the source of this 2309-nucleotide long non-coding RNA. RefSeq lists it as uncharacterized. The record is from RefSeq and is a predicted model, not a curated record. The transcript is spliced from 3 exons. NCBI's taxonomy places the organism in Eukaryota, Metazoa, Chordata, Actinopteri, Syngnathiformes, Syngnathidae.
CCUGAUCACCUGGGACCCUAAUGAGCAGAAGCGGUAAAGAAAAGUGAAGGAAGCGAUGACAGCUUUGACGAAGGCAGGAGUUGCGGCCAAAACUAUCUACCUAGUAGAACUUUUCCUCUUCCUUCAACCCACAAUGAUAAUGAAGAGGACAAAAAAGAGGAUGGUAUUCCUGCAGGAGUGGGAAGAGGCAUCCUAAAGAAAAGGUCAGACUGAACAAACUGCACACAAGACAGUGGCAUCAGUACUAGGAAGAAUCUACUGCCUAAACUCGAUGAAGCUGCAUCUAAUUUUUACUUCAGUCUACAGCAGUUGCACUUAACUCUUGAAGAACUGCCUGGUCACAACCAAAAAACACUCAUGUUAUAUGUGAGUCAGAAACACAAACCUGAAACCAAAGUUGAACGUAACUCCAAAAAAUAUGUUUAGUGGAUGGACAACACUGCUUAUCAACAGAAGAAUGCAAUACAGUGCCUAAUCCUACUAUACUGUAACAUGGAAGCAUGUUUUGGAGCUGUGUUUCUGGGGAUUAAGUUCAUCUGAAAGAAUAAUGAACGUUUGGAAAUGGAAGACAGAGUUUGCACAAAACCUUUCUUUUUCUAGAAAGAAAAAAAGUGAUGAAAACCCCACGAUAACAACUGAUCUUUAGUGGUGUUAAACAAAGGCACUUAAAAAUUUUGGCAGGUGACCACCAUCGAACGUGGGUUCAAAUGUUGAUUUUGAACAUUUCCACAUCACAAUUAGAAGUGGAUGUGCAGUCUUUUGCAACGGUAUUUUUUUUUUUUUGCAAGAAAGAUCAGGUGGUUUGACUGGGUUGUGGAGGUUUAUGUCAUAUUAAAUCGCAAGACAUCACUAUUUACGAAUGACAUUUACAGUAUAUAAAAGACAAUUGAUCAAAGUAUUAAAGUAUGCAAUUUGUGAAUUUCUUAGUCUUUUAAUAAAGGACAAGAUCAUGUUUAAACAGGAAACAAAAGAGAAAUCAUAUGAGGGGAAAAAAGACAUGACAAGGUGGGAUUCCACAUCAUGAUGUUUAUUAAGCAAAUGCUGCUGGGAAAUUGUUGAUGUAAGGUCACGGGCCUGCAAACAGUAGCACCUCAUAAAUUUCAAUAUUUCAAGUCAGGUUACUAUGCGAAUGCAAGAAUGCUACACCCUAAGCACUCGUACAGUAUUUCUUUGUAUUUGCGCUUGGGUAAACGUAACAGACAGGGAUUCAAAAGCAUGUUUAAGGCUAGGACUUUCGCGGGGUCCGUCGAAAACUCCAUGUAGUUGUUUGAUCAUCCUGUUGUCAUUCGCUGCUGCAGGUGUGUCAUUUCUUUUUGGCUGAGUUGCUAUGGUCACGUCAGGUAUAAGGCUACGUAAACACAGCAUUUUUACGUGUGCAAAGGACCCCCCAAUAACCAUCCACCCUCGCCACCCUUCCCUCAUUACUUACGCUACAAAAAAGUCAUAUACUAUAUAAUGGAUCCCCUAACAUACAGUGUCUUCUCUGUCAUUCAUACAUACAUACAUCGGUGAGGAAAGUGCCCUCCCCUCCAGCCCCUGAGCCAAAGCAUGCAAAGCCCACCCCAAAACCCACAAGCCCAUCAGUGAACAGCGGCAAAAACGGAAGAAGAAAUGUCUUGAUGGCUCGCCCCUCUCAGCGUCUGCAAACAUGCAUUUCUAACAUUUGUAGCAUUUGGCUUCUCUCUAAGUUUUGUAUGUUAUAUUAUGUCGCUCUAGCUGUAUGGUGUUCUCUUAUGUUAGUUCUGCUUGAUUGCUUUUCAUCACGCUGACUCCCCGAAUUGCCGUUGAGGCCAACUCCUCAGUCACCCUCAGUCACCUGCUUGAUUGACUGGCUGGAGUGCUUCUCCGUCUUCAUGGUGGAGACCAACUUCUCCUGCAGUGUUUCCUCCAUUUCCUUCACCGUUUCGGUAACUGUGAUGGACUUGGUGACCUGCUGUGAGCCGUCUUCCCCUGUAGUGAUGGUCUCCACCGUUUUGGUGAUCACCACCUUCUGGCUAGCGUCGUCCUUGACGGGACUUUCGUCCACGCCGUUGAUAAUCACUUCGUUGCCCUCGCCCUUUUUCUGCUCCUCUUCCUUUGAGCCGGUCUUGUCCACAUCGCCAUUCAUUGCGGCAUCUUUUGUCUUCUUGGUGUCUUCAGCAGGCUUCGAUGUGUCAGGUUUGCUUGUUUCCGUCUUAGGAGAUUCUGCCUUUGGUGGUUCUUGCUUUGCUGAUUCUGACUUCGGGGACUCUGCUUUUGGGGAGAUAGCCUUCGGUGAUUCGUCUUUGGGGGAUCCGGGCUUGGGGGAUUCUGAUUUAGGGGACUCUGCC